AUGAACGCUGGCGGCGUGCCUAACACAUGCAAGUCGAACGAAGCACCUUACCUGAUUCUUCGGAUGAAAGUUUGGUGACUGAGUGGCGGACGGGUGAGUAACGCGUGGGUAACCUGCCCUGUACAGGGGGAUAACAGCUGGAAACGGCUGCUAAUACCGCAUAAGCGCACGAGGAGACAUCUCCUUGUGUGAAAAACUCCGGUGGUACAGGAUGGGCCCGCGUCUGAUUAGCUGGUUGGCAGGGUAACGGCCUACCAAGGCAACGAUCAGUAGCCGGUCUGAGAGGAUGAACGGCCACAUUGGAACUGGGACACGGUCCAAACUCCUACGGGAAGCAGCAGUGGGGAAUAUUGCACAAUGGGGGAAACCCUGAUGCAGCAACGCCGCGUGAGUGAAGAAGUAUUUCGGUAUGUAAAGCUCUAUCAGCAGGGAAGAUAAUGACGGUACCUGACUAAGAAGCUCCGGCUAAAUACGUG
RNAcentral lists this ribosomal RNA (476 nucleotides) under uncultured bacterium. RNAcentral's name for it is "partial 16S ribosomal RNA". It matches the Rfam family "Bacterial small subunit ribosomal RNA", at positions 29 to 507 of the family's 1533-position model. The record is from RNAcentral.